Molecule: ribosomal RNA, 426 nt
Filed under: uncultured Pseudomonadaceae bacterium
Lineage: Bacteria; Pseudomonadati; Pseudomonadota; Gammaproteobacteria; Pseudomonadales; Pseudomonadaceae
Description: bacterial SSU rRNA
Rfam family: Bacterial small subunit ribosomal RNA
Source: RNAcentral
GGGGAAUAUUGGACAAUGGGCGAAAGCCUGAUCCAGCCAUUCCGCGUGUGUGAAGAAGGUCUUCGGAUUGUAAAGCACUUUAAGUUGGGAGGAAGGGCAGUAAGUUAAUACCUUGCUGUUUUGACGUUACCAACAGAAUAAGCACCGGCUAACUUCGUGCCAGCAACCGCGGUAAUACGAAGGGUGCAAGCGUUAAUCGGAAUUACUGGGCGUAAAGCGCGCGUAGGUGGUUCGUUAAGUUGGAUGUGAAAGCCCCGGGCUCAACCUGGGAACUGCAUCCAAAACUGGCGAGCUAGAGUAUGGCAGAGGGUGGUGGAAUUUCCUGUGUAGCGGUGAAAUGCGUAGAUAUAGGAAGGAACACCAGUGGCGAAGGCGGCCCCCUGGACGAAGACUGACGCUCAGGCACGAAAGCGUGGGGAGCAAACA